CGGGAAAGGCAAGCGUUGUUCGGAAUUACUAAACGUAAAGAACGCGUAGACGGUUCGCUAAGUCGGAUGUGAAAACUCUGGGCUCAACCCAAAACCUGCAUCCGAAACUGACAAACUAGAGUUCUGAAGGGGGUAGCGGAAUUCCUGGUGUAGCGGUGAAAUGCGUAGAUAUCAAAAGGAACACCGAUGGCGAAGACGGCUACCUAGACAGAAACUGACGCUGAAACGCGAAAGCUAAAAAAGCAAACAAAAUUAGAUACCCUAAUAGUCCUAGCCCUAAACGAUGGAUACUUAGUGUGACUGGGAUUGAAUCCAGUCGUGCCGAAACUAACGCAUUAAGUAUCCCGCCUAAAGAGUACGGUCGCAAGGCUG
Molecule: ribosomal RNA, 372 nt
Filed under: uncultured organism
Description: bacterial SSU rRNA
Rfam family: Bacterial small subunit ribosomal RNA
Source: RNAcentral